Molecule: ribosomal RNA, 252 nt
Filed under: uncultured bacterium
Lineage: Bacteria
Description: partial 16S ribosomal RNA
Rfam family: Bacterial small subunit ribosomal RNA
Source: RNAcentral
GCAAGUCGAGCGGUAACAGAGAGUAGCUUGCUACUUUGCUGACGAGCGGCGGACGGGUGAGUAAUGCUUGGGAACAUGCCUUGAGGUGGGGGACAACAGUUGGAAACAACUGCUAAUACCGCAUAACGUCUACGGACCAAAGAGGGGGAUCUUCGGACCUCUUGCCUUUUGAUUAGCCCAAGUGAGAUUAGCUAGUUGGUAAGGUAAUGGCUUACCAAGGCGACGAUCUCUAGCUGGUUUGAGAGGAUGAUC